RNAcentral lists this ribosomal RNA (253 nucleotides) under uncultured bacterium. RNAcentral describes it as "partial 16S ribosomal RNA". It matches the Rfam family "Bacterial small subunit ribosomal RNA", at positions 524 to 776 of the family's 1533-position model. The record is from RNAcentral.
UACGGGGGGGGCAAGCGUUGUUCGGAAUUACUGGGCGUAAAGGGUUCGUAGGUGGCCAACUAAGUCAGACGUGAAAUCCCUCAGCUUAACUGGGGAACUGCGUCUGAGACUGGAUGGCUUGAGUGCAGGAGAGGAACGCGGAAUUCCAGGUGUAGCGGUGAAAUGCGUAGAGACCCGGAGGAACACCAGUGGCGAAGGCGGCAUCCUGGUCUGCGACUGACGCUGUGGCGCGAAAGCUAGGGGAGCGAACGGG